CUUCCAGACACGCCUGAUUGUUCCAUAUGGGCACUUCCACUUCGCGGAGAGACGGACUAGAACUGCCUAGAAAUGCAGUCGUGCCCCAGCCUUCAAUGGACGCACACAAGAGAACCUGCGACGAAAGCUGUUCGAUCUUCCAGUGACGGCAGGGACGGAGGGGGCAGGCAGAUCCGCUGGAUGACGGGGGAGAAUUCAACCGGUCGAUUCAAUCGAACGAUGGCGAUGUCGUGCAGGUGAGAUCGUGGCUCGUACUGCUGGUGCACAGUUAUCUUCUCCACGUUGAAUAUGUUGUUGACUGUGCUGUUCUCCUCCAAUAAUGCUCGGGCAGAGUUGUUGUUACUGUUGUCUGGGAUCUGAGUCGCAGGCAACCUUCCUGCCAAGUCAAAUUCUCCCAGUCGGAUUUGUAACUUGCUCGGGUGAACCCUGUAGAAUGUUGGCAAAUGUCAUAGUCAAUCGUGGAAGCUGUGAAAUGAGGUACCUUACCCACUGACACAGUGUGCAGCAGUCAAGACAUGGCGGUCAGAGAUCAGGGCUCCAGCACAGUAUUGAUUUGCAUUGGAGCGAUAAAAAGCUGCAUGACAAAAAUGCAAUAUUAUCUGGGCUGCACUUUUUGUUCACAGUUUAUAGGCUUGAUUUAGACAUUUAUUACCAGCCAUCCAGGGCCACUUUCCUGGGUACGAUAUUUCACCACCAACGAUUCUCGUUUGAGUAUUUGCCCUAAUUCCACACCCGUCUGAACAAAAUGGAAAAAAAUUUCACAUUACAGAUGAGAAAAAGAGUUUAAAAUGUAAUAAAUACCUGGUUUUGCUACUGUUGAAUGUAUUGAAGUUAAAAUUAAACAAACAAGGGGUAUCAAUUCAGAUAAAACAAUCAAAGCCAUUUUUAAUCAAAUAAAACCACUGCGUUAAUUGUCAUUUGGUGUGGGAACGAUUAAAUGAGUUCUUCUAUUUUCUGCAGACGAGAAGACUCUGACCUUAGUGUUGGCAUGGCAACGUGACCUCGAAUGACCCACUUCUUUUCAUGGACAAGGGCAAUGGAAUCUCAGAAAAAAUCUUUUCAUAUUUAUAAAGAAAAAAUGUCCAUAUUGAUCGUUUCCAUUCUUCUGUAGAAAGAAAAUCGUUCAUAAUUUUUAACGGUGAAUCCGACCCUGAAUGAAGCUUUAAUCGUCAUCCAUCUUCUUUAUUGAUCUUUGGAAACAAUGCUCUGUGUUCUGUAUGGCGGCAAAUUUAUAAGGAAUAAGAAAAAACAGAAAUCUUCUCUUACGGCAAAAAUCAGAAACUAAUUUUGUUUGUAUCAAUCUUAACUCGUAAAUUGUGUGUAAAUUGUCAACUAAACUUUUUAAUCAGUAGAUAAUCAAGAACUAGGAAGUAGGAACUCAAGUAUACAUUUGAAUUUUAGCGGGUCGAGAUCUGACAUCCAGUUUAUAGGCAACGCCGCAGCCAAGCGCUUUAAUUAAAAAUUUAAUUUAAAAAAUUUUAAUCGUCACUUUUAAAAUCAGGAAUCAACGAAUUGUUUAAUCAAUUUUGUAAAAGAAAUCAAUUUUUUGUGCGUCUAAUGUUGCCUAAAAAUGCCAGUUGGCGCUUCCCCCAAAUUUCUCACAUUGGCAUUGUUAUUGUGAGGAAGAGCAGACAGCCGACAGGACAGGUUUCAUUCGAGAUUCGAGAAUUUACUUUUUGCUAUUCACUUUCGGCAAAAUUUCUUCAAUUUGUAAUUUUUUUAAAGUUAAAAUAUCUGGAAAUUGGGGGCAGUCGAUAUGUCUGGGUGCAUAACAUUAAAAUUUACAUCCUCUACAGGAUGCAAAGUUCUUGCAUAGAUAAGCAAUUGGGGCUCAAAGAAUUGAAACUGUACUUUUGACUAGCAGGAAAUCCUGACUUUUUUUAAGACUGAAUCAUGACCAACUUUAUCGUCAAAGCAUCUGAUUCUAAAAAUACCAAUAGAUAUCAAAGCUGUCAAAAUUCCAUUGCGGCUUAAUUGCUUUGUUAACUGAAAACAAGAACAAAAGCCAGAGAGUCUCCUAAUUCAGAUUCAAGUCUUCAAAACUGGUUGAAUUAGCACAAGUACCUCCAGUUGUAGCUUUCAGGAGGUUUGGAUUAUCACGAAUAAGCCAUGCAAGCCCACAGUCACAGGAGAAUGGAUCUGGUGGUGGUUCAAAGAAGACUGAUCCAGUGGAAUUAGCAAUGCCAGCCAUCUGUGUCAAAACUGGCUGGAAAACUGAGUAAUCAAAUGAUACCAGGUUGUUGUUGCUCAAAUCGAUUUCUGCAUAACUGUAAUCGCCUGUAGAAUUUGAUAAACUCAUGGAAUACCUUU
This 2310-nucleotide long non-coding RNA is filed under the name Daphnia pulex (common water flea). RNAcentral's name for it is "uncharacterized LOC124199284". The record is from RNAcentral. Lineage: Eukaryota; Metazoa; Arthropoda; Branchiopoda; Diplostraca; Daphniidae.